Oncorhynchus tshawytscha (Chinook salmon) is the source of this 433-nucleotide long non-coding RNA. The record is from Ensembl. Lineage: Eukaryota; Metazoa; Chordata; Actinopteri; Salmoniformes; Salmonidae.
UGUAUGUAGUGUUAUGAUAUGAGGGUAGGUUAGUGUUGUGAUAUGAGGGCAGGUUAGUGUUAUGAUAUGAGGGCAGGUUAGUGUUAUGAUAUGAGGGCAGGUUAGUGUUAUGAUAUGUCUGUAUGUUAGUGUUAUGAUAUGAGGGUAGGUCAGUGUUAUGAUAUGAGGGUAGGUUAGUAUUAUGAUAUGAGGUGUAGGUUAGUGUUUGAUAUGAGGGUAGGUUAGUGUUAUGAUAUGAGGGUAGGUUAGUGUUAUGAUAUGAGGUGUAGGUUAGUGUUUGAUAUGAGGGUAGGUUAGUGUAAUGAUAUGUCUGUAUGUAGUGGUAUGAUAUGAGGGUAGGUUAGUGGUAGACAUGUCUGUAUCUAGUGUUAUGAUAUAAGGGUAGGUUAGUGUAAUGAUAUGUCUGUAUGUAGUGGUAUGAUAUGAGGGCAGG